This 540-nucleotide ribosomal RNA is filed under the name Triticum aestivum (bread wheat). RNAcentral's name for it is "partial small subunit ribosomal RNA". The record is from RNAcentral. Lineage: Eukaryota; Viridiplantae; Streptophyta; Magnoliopsida; Poales; Poaceae.
AUGGUUACUCGCGCACUCAAGAUGUUCGACGGAAUGCCUGACGGAUCGGAACGGCCCUGUGCAGAACGAGUCGGCGAUGAACGAGGAGGGGAUCUACGAGCGGCCGUGGCGGCCGCGCGCGACCAGCUCGCCGCCCACGCCGCCAGGCUCGAGAAGGAGUGCGGCCUCUAUGAGCGUGACCUGGAGCGCGCCAUGGAGUCCUGCGACGAGCUCGCCAGGGAGAGCGACGACCUGCGCAAGCGCCUGCGGGACGCCCCCGACGUUACCACACUGAACAAUGAAGUGGAAGCCCUGCAGAGGGACAAGGAGAUACUGAGGACCAAUCUAAACAAAGCAGAGGAGGAAACCCUACCGCCGCAGAAGCAGCCAUGUGUAUCGACCUCGUUGCCGGUGGGAGGAACAAGAGGACCAAGCGCGUCGCGCCCAAGUCCGACGAUGUCUACCUCAAGCUCCUCGUCAAGCUCUACCGUUUCCUGGCGAGGAGGACCAAAUCAAGUUCAACGUCGUCAUCCUCAAGAGGCUCUUCAUGAGCAAGACUAA